GUCCGAAGGGGGUGAAGCAACCUGAGUCCAGGGUGUCAUCAUUCGGAUUGGAAGUGGUCUGUGUGGCGGGUUUCUUCCUGUAUUUAUUGAAGGACUUUCUUCUCGGAUAUGCACUUCUGAUCUGACACUUGUGCCCAUGCUCCAUUUCCACACCUCAGCUGCCAAUAACCACUCAAGAGGAAGAAGAUGAUUUUCACAGCCCGUUCAAUCCUGUCACCACAAAGAUCGUGCAAAAACCUCUCGAAGAUGUGUCUUCAAAUCUGCAUAUGGCUUUCUUUGGCGCUUACUUCAAUAGUUGACGCUGUGG
Maylandia zebra (zebra mbuna) is the source of this 307-nucleotide non-coding RNA. The record is from RefSeq and is a predicted model, not a curated record. NCBI's taxonomy places the organism in Eukaryota, Metazoa, Chordata, Actinopteri, Cichliformes, Cichlidae.